UACAGAGGGUGCGAGCGUUAAUCGGAAUCACUGGGCUUAAAGGGCGCGUAGGCGGGCUGUCAAGUCUGGGGUGAAAUGCCGCGGCUCAACCGUGGAACUGCCUUAGAUACUGACGGCCUCGAGGAAGGUAGGGGCAUGCGGAACUGUAGGUGGAGCGGUGAAAUGCGUUGAUAUCUACAGGAACUCCGGUGGCGAAAGCGGCGUGCUGGACCUUUUCUGACGCUGAGGCGCGAAAGCUAGGGGAGCAAACGGG
This 253-nucleotide ribosomal RNA is filed under the name uncultured bacterium. RNAcentral's name for it is "partial 16S ribosomal RNA". It matches the Rfam family "Bacterial small subunit ribosomal RNA", at positions 524 to 776 of the family's 1533-position model. The record is from RNAcentral.